UACGUAGGGUGCGAGCGUUAAUCGGAAUUACUGGGCGUAAAGUGUGCGCAGGCGGCCGAGCAAGUCGAGUGUGAAAGCCCCGAGCUUAACUUGGGAACUGCGCUCGAAACUACUUGGCUAGAGUGUGGCAGAGGGAGGUGGAAUUCCACGUGUAGCGGUGAAAUGCGUAGAGAUGUGGAGGAACACCGAUGGCGAGGGCAGCCUCCUGGGCCAACACUGACGCUCAUGCACGAAAGCGUGGGGAGCAAACAGG
Molecule: ribosomal RNA, 253 nt
Filed under: uncultured bacterium
Lineage: Bacteria
Description: partial 16S ribosomal RNA
Rfam family: Bacterial small subunit ribosomal RNA
Source: RNAcentral